UGAGGAAUAUUGGGCAAUGCCCGCAAGGGUGACCCAGCAACGCCGCGUGGAGGAUGAAUGUCGUAAGAUUGUAAACUCCUGUUAGAGGGGAAGAAUAGUACCGGUUGGACCGGUAUAUGACUGUACCCUCAGAGAAAGCCCCGGCUAACUACGUGCCAGCAGCCGCGGUAAUACGUAGGGGGCAAGCGUUGUCCGGAUUUACUGGGUGUAAAGGGCGCGCAGGCGGGAUAAAAAGUCAGUGGUGAAAUCCUACAGCUUAACUAUAGAACUGCCUUUGAUACUUUUAUUCUUGAGUUCGGGAGAGAGAGACGGAAUUCCAGGUGUAGUGGUGAAAUACGUAGAUAUCGGGAAGAACACCAGUUGCGAAGGCGGUCUCUUGGUCCGACACUGACGCUGAGGCGCGAAAGCGUGGGGAGCAAACA
RNAcentral lists this ribosomal RNA (422 nucleotides) under uncultured bacterium. Its description in RNAcentral is "bacterial SSU rRNA". It matches the Rfam family "Bacterial small subunit ribosomal RNA", at positions 355 to 774 of the family's 1533-position model. The record is from RNAcentral.